AGCCAUUUUUGUCCUCACUGUUGAGGAGAAUAUCAAGAAGGUGGAAAAGUCGUUUCUGUCCUUGCUCUUCUCUGUGUUGGAUAGGGAUCGUUGUCGGGUUUGGAAUUCAGCCAUUCAGAUCAAGAUCAAAGAAAGCAAAAGAAGAGAAAAGACGGAAAAGAAGAAUAGAAAAGAGGAGAAGAUCUCCCCGAGAAUAGACCGGCCGGAAGGUCGCCGGGGUGGGAAAGAGAAAGAGGAGAGAUCCAAGAUUGUGGUGGACUUCCGGGGGAAGGUUUGAGUUUGUUUCUGGAGAGGUGGAUGCUAAAAUUUUGAUCGAGUUUGGGGGAGAGCUUUCAGCAGGAGAAGAGUGUAGAGAUGAAGAAGGGAUAUUCUUGGUAUAUUCAGUCAGUAGCUUUGAAAGCACCUGUGUAUUCAAUUGGACCAAUUUAGGAGUGGAGUGCCUUCUGUGUAAUCAAAAGUUUCUGGUCAAGAUACAGAGAGAUACCAACCUGAUAAACCAUAAUCUCCAGCAGCAAAGCUUUAUCGUUGUUAGAGAUAGCUGAUGUUCACAAAAGGUAAUUUUCACGUCAUCAUCUGAGUAGAAGCAACUUUCUCUUCAAGUUACUUUUGAUACCUUUGCUUCCAUCUUCUUGAUUUAAAUAUUAGGUUUACUUAAUCUGACUUUCAAGCUUUUAAUGGUAUUUUUUUUUAUAGGUUAUUAAAACCAUUACACAGGUUUAACUCUCUCUCUCUCUCUCUCAACAAUUCAUUGUUUUUGUUUUUCUAGACCACAAAUGAGAAUAUGGAAGUAUUGGGAGAAAGAGACAAAAAUAGUUCCAUACCACACUACUAGAAUUUUGCUCUUAGACAUCACGACAAUUACAUCGGUGAGAAAUUCACGCGAUGUAAAAAAUUAUCAUUAACAUCGAUUCCUCAAAUUCCGAUUUAUAUGUAUAUAAUUGACAUCGUUUUUUACUGUUGACUGAUGUCUAUAUUUUGAUUCCAAAAUUUUUGAAAACGCGGAAAGACUAACUUAAACAAUUUCGUACACGCGGGGAACAAAAUUUUCCCACUCUACUUCACUCACUCUCUCUCGCCCUUCCCUGAAACCUAUCCCCCUCCUCCUCACCCUCCUCCUCCCUCUCUCUCUCUCUCUCUCUCUCUCUCACCCCCGUCCCAACUGAACCGGAACCACAAAACCCUAGAAAACGAAUUUGAAGAGAUUUCUUUGUGGCUCAUCUCGGAGGUGCAGCCUAGCGUUGACUCGUCGGAGGAUGGCGAAGAAGAUGGUGGCUACGGUGAGCCCACUCCGGUGGUUGGAGAUCGUGUCGGAGGAGAGAGUGUCCUCCAGAUCCACUUUGUCUCGUGGAGUUCUUGUUUCCUUUCUGUUCAGCACCCAACCUCCUCCUCCAUCUCCGAACGGCACCGAACCGUCCUCUUCUUCCUUCUCCGCCUCCGACCAGAACCCGUCUAAGAACGAAGAGGAGAGAGAGGUCGGGUGCGAGGGGUUAGGGCUCAAAGAUGGUGGAUGUUCCAGAGUUCAAGGCCUCCGUUUCAGAGACAAAUUGGAGCAACUCCGAAAGAAGUCUGGGUAAUUUGAAUCUUUUUAGUUUAUGGAUUUGGUUUUGUGUCUUUGAAGUAUUUGUGAGUGGGUUUCUUAAGUUUCUUCACUUUUGUGUGAUUCCUUCUUUAAUUUAUUGAAUGGAUUGGAUUAUUGGCAUGAUAGUCAUAUGCAGAUAUAGAUCCUCUAGGCUUUUUUUUGAUUGAGGAUGGAACAGAAAAUUGAACUAUCGCCAAAAAUGGUAUACCCAGAAAAGUACUGCUGUUGAUUUUAUGAAAUUCAUAACUUCAGAGAUAUAUUGACUGCAGAGGAGCUUAAUCCCUUUCUUGAUGGCUCUGCACAAUCACAGAUGCACUUCCUUUGACAAUUAUUUUACUUUGUUCGUCAGUUACACUACUUUUGUACAUAUGUGAAGGUAUCCAUCUGCCCACGGAGCAGUAUUGCUUUCGCUUGUGAAAACUGAAAAGUUGAACCCUUGAUGUGUUAUUUUCAAAGAUCUACUUCUGCUAAAGGUGUGUAUCCACCCUAUUUGAAGCUCAUGUUGCUCCUGCAGGGCCAUUGAUAAAGCACUUCUCUUCCCUUGUCAAGUGGACGAGGGCGGCAUCUGCCAAAACACCCCAAUCAGGGGAAGCCUCCUGACUGGCAAGAUUUUGCGGUUAUUAUUACUCUGCUGGUCAUCAACUCCACCAUUAGUUUCAUCAAGGAAAAUAAUGCGAGUAAUGCUGCAGCAGCUCUCAUGGCUCGUCUUGCUCCUAAAGCCAAGAAAUGGUCCGAGAUCAUUGGGCAAGCACGCCAAAGUGUCGAAGUUCUUAAAGAUCAGGAAGUGAUUGAUACGCUUUGAGCAAGCGCAUAAUUUAACCCUGAAAACAUCGUUAGUAGUAUAAGCAAAUAGGGAUCGUUCUAUUCCGGGGAUUGAGGGUACACUUGUCAUUGUCAAAAAAAACAAAUAAAGAAUUAAAAUAAUAAAGUAAAAAGUAUUAUGUACAAAAAUAAAAUAAAGAAUAAAAAUAUAUACAAGUUAAUAUAAAAAGGGGGGUUUUGAGAUUAUAGAAUUGGAAUUAAAAUUAAAUGAAAUAAAGAAAGUGUAAAAACACAUAUACAAGGGAGGAACACAAGAAACAAAGAUCAAAACUACAAUCAUAUGUAUGAAAUCCAAUUACAAUUCCUAUAGUUGAUUAUCUAUGUCAUGAGAAAUAAGUUGACCAUGUGAAACAUUCGAAGCAAAUGAUUUCCCAUAUUUUACUUUCCUUGAAUAUUUAAUCUAAGUGAAAGCACUUAAAUUAAACCUAUUGAACAUGCAAUCAUAGUCUAGAAAACUAGCUAAUCAAGAACACAUUCAAUGCAUGAAGAACAAAGAAAGGAUGUCAACCAAAGUGCACAACCUAGUAUGAAAAAGUCCAUCUAUUUGCAAUCCUCCUUAAUUGAUUUCGACUUUUGUCCAAAGCCUUUACUACUUAAAUCUAGCACCAAUUACAUGCAUAUAUCCUAAGUUGGCCAUCAAAGAACACAUACAUAUAAAAGUUUUCCAUAAUCCAAAAUCAAUUAAGCAAUCUCACAUAAGCAACAUAAAAAUCAACAUAAAGAAAUCACAAUUUUUAUUCAAACAUAGAAAUUGGGCUUAAACUUUGCCCUUAAUGUUAUUGUUAACUAGAAACAAAUUCCUACGAAAUUAAAUAAGGAAAAAGAAUGAAUUACACCGUGAGUUGGAGAUGGAGAUGGAGUGCUUGAAACGUUGAAAUCUUGAAUCUUGGAAGCAAGCCUUCAAGGUGGACGAUGGAGGAUAUGAUAUUCCCGGCUCCUUCUUCUUCUUCUUCUUCUUACUUGAAAACGCAGAAUUUUGCAACUAGAGAAUGGAGAGAAAAAUGGAAUGGAAAUGGAGAGACAAAGAAGAUGAAAUGGAUGAAGGAAUGUGUUUAGAGUGAGAGGAGAAGGUGUUUAUAUAGAGAAGAAAAAGAAGAGUGAAAUGAUAAAUGGAAGAAAAAUAAUGAAAGUGGUUUGUAAAAUAUGGAAAAGAUGGAGUAAUGAUGAAAUGAAAGCAAGGCAUGAAUGUGCAGAAGUAUGGAAGUGAUGAUGAUCUAUUGGAGCAGAAAAAUAUAUCCAAGGAAAAAGAGAAAAGCAUCUAGCUUUCUUCAUGUGGGUAGGAAACAUGAACAUGUGAAUAUUGAGCUGGUUUUAGGUCAAUUUCUGCCCCUUUAUUCCUUCAAUUAUUUCUCCAACAGGAAUUCAUUUUUGGCUCUUGACUUCUUCAUAUGAAAUGAUCUACCAUGAGUGUAGAUCAUUUUGGUAAAAUUUCAGAAUUUAUUUCCAUGCCUUUGGGCCAGAAUUUCUGCUGGACUCCUUACGGGUCCAGUUUUCCAGUUUUGCUUCUGCAGGAAAUUGGGCUGACUGUUUGAAGGCCUUCCGCUCAAUUCUAGCUCUGGCACUCUUCAUAAGAAACGAUCCUUAGGAUGUCUAGAAUGGAUCUGGAAAGUUUCAGCUCAUUUGGAGUUCAUUUGGUCAGGCGGCCGCUCCUUCUUCCUUGCUUGGCUUGGUUUCUCCUAGCCGGAGUAGGAAAAUGUGUAAAAUUGACCUUUUAGUACAUUUCCAUUUUUCUCCAUCAUUUAUAGGUAAUUAUGGACCUAAUGCUCAUUUCAUCAUCAUCUACUCCAAUGUACCUAAAAAAAUAGAAAUUAAGUUAAAAAUCGAUUCGUUAAGGAAUUAACUAAGCAAAAUGUGAGGAAUUAACUAUUAAAAUACCACAUUAAAAUGCUGCUAUCAGUGAUUCGAACCAUUCUUAAUAUAUUACAGACAAACACAAGGGUUGCCAGCUCUCUUGGAACAUUUCUCUUAACCCAGAUUUCAUUGAUCUUUUUCGACAUGCUUAAUGUCUACAAUCAAUUGGUGUGAGUGUCCAUGUAACCAGUGAUGAGAAGAAAGUAGUGCAAAGAUGGCCUUGCUUAUGGAAUGGUACACAAUGACCGUUUUACUUCUUUGCAAACCCUUUGUUUUGUAUAUGGAGAAGUUUAGGCCAUAUGUCCCCUUCUCCCUACUCUUUGUACACUUUUUUUUAUCAAAAAUAGUAUUAAUGAGAAUUUUCUUUUGGUUACCA
Rosa rugosa (rugosa rose) is the source of this 4628-nucleotide long non-coding RNA. RefSeq lists it as uncharacterized. NCBI's taxonomy places the organism in Eukaryota, Viridiplantae, Streptophyta, Magnoliopsida, Rosales, Rosaceae. The record is from RefSeq and is a predicted model, not a curated record. The transcript has 14 exons.